CCGGUGUGGCAGCCUUUGCCACGUUCUCGCUGGUACAGUUUACGUUUGUGUGUUUUUCAGGCAUCUUAAGACUCAAGUACACAAGACUUGCUAACCAUCAGGGAGUCUUCUCCGGAAUUUUUUUUGACAACUCUCACCAAUUCGCUGAAUCUUUUUCCGGAGUUACUCGUCAGCGAAGGAGGGGGAUGCGAGCUAGUACACAACUUAAACUUCAAAAGAGGGGACAUCGACUAGUGCUCCUGUUGACUCAUUUCCGGAACCUAUGCUCCCAAACCAUGGAAAUGGAUGAAUUUCAAAUUCUGAUCAAGACCUGGAAAGGCUGAACAUUCUGCUGCUCUGUGCUUCACGGAGACUUGGCUUUGUGGAUGCGUCACCGCCGCCGCCAUUACACUUCCCGGCUUUCACCUUCAUUGUGCGGACUGCGUCGCGGAGCUAACAUGGAAAUCGAAAUAUGUAAAAUGCUUUUAUAUCAAUGAUAACUGGUGCCUGGACGUUAAACAGCUCAUCACACACUGCAGUGUACUUUCAGAGUCGUUCUUUUUUAACUGUAAAGUUAAAGUAAGUUUUAUUCAUCAGUUUUUCUCUAGAAGAAAGGGUGUUAGCUGUUACUUCUGGAACUUCGCAAAGCAUCAAAGUGAAGUUUGGAUUACUGGAGACGUAGGCCCAGAGGAAAAGGCCCUAACAUGGAUUUCCUUCUUCAUAAAAAGAGGGUUUUAAAGGGACUUUGGUGGUGUUCAAAAUAAUGUGGAGACCUUGACUCGUUUUGUAUAACUGUAAAGUCUGUUGCAGGUGUCUAGUGAAUUCAGAUGUUCCCCAAGAUGUUGUCCAUUCAUCAUUUUCAUUUCACUCAUUUAUUGAUUUAUUUGUUUUGUGUAUAAGGUUUGUAUAUAACGUUCACCUGCCCUAAUCUUUGUGUGUAAAGUUUACCUGCCCUCUCAUCCCUCCUGUUGAGACAUGCGUUAGCUCAUGUCUCAAUUUAGUACGACUCGUUUAUUGUUUGGUCAUCCACAGAUGUAAUUUUUUUUAGAAUUGUUUUUUUUUUAAUUGUAGAAUCUGUUUUUGGACUCUGUUGCUGAAUUUUUCCACAAUGUAUCAAAUUCUAGAUUUGUCGUUUUGUCUAUUAUCAUAAUUUGAGUUUUUCCGCAAUGCAGCUCCCUUUAUUAUUCUAUCAGUGAAAGCCUUUCUCAAUGAAAUCAUAUUUUUGUUUGA
Long non-coding RNA from Syngnathoides biaculeatus (alligator pipefish), 1209 nucleotides. RefSeq lists it as uncharacterized. The record is from RefSeq and is a predicted model, not a curated record. Lineage: Eukaryota; Metazoa; Chordata; Actinopteri; Syngnathiformes; Syngnathidae. The transcript is spliced from 2 exons.